Molecule: long non-coding RNA, 3632 nt
Filed under: Taeniopygia guttata (zebra finch)
Lineage: Eukaryota; Metazoa; Chordata; Aves; Passeriformes; Estrildidae
Description: lncRNA (ENSTGUG00000020546.1)
Source: RNAcentral
AGGGAUACCCAGCGGUGGUCUCCCUUCCACUGCAGGGAAUUCAUCCACACCUGCUGGGCAUCCACAAGAACAAAAGCCUUCAAGGUGGCAAUCUGAGCAUCUGUGGGACACAGCAGCUCCUCUUAGCCCAUGUCUGGUCCACACUCUCCAGCCCUGGCUUAGCUUCCUUCUGCUCCAGCCGAAGGCAGAGCAUCCCAGAGAUCCGCCGGAGGGGGAAGGAGACAAAGAAACCAAUGCAACCCAGUCCUGCAGCUUCAUAUGGAAAAUGGCUUCUGCUUGACUGCUAUCAGAGCCCAAACGCAGCACGAUGUGGCUGCGCAGCGGCCGCCCGAGGCUGGCAGGCGACACCUGAGCGUGCCCACGGAGAUGUGCGGGGACGGGUAAUUGCACAUGCAAAACGUUCGGCUGUGACAGCAAACAGGACAAUUGAGCAGAGGAAUGGGAAUCCAUUUCCAUGCACAAUUACCUGGGGAGGGCUAAACCAUGGCUCCGGGAGGCAACAGAGAUAGGCCCCCCCCUUCUCCCCCUCCCAGAGCCGCCUCCUCUCGGUGCCUGCCUGCUUCCCUGGGGAGCAGGGCAUUUCCAUCCUCCCAGGAACCGGGGGAAGCUGUGCCGAGCUGGAUGAGCCUGGUGCUUAUUACUGGGUUAGUCUGAUUACGGAGCAGACGGCUCAUUGAACAAGCUGUUCUUUGGGGUGGAUUUGCUGGGAAAAGGGGCAGGGAAGGAAGUGAAUAGUCUGAGCCCCUUUGUUUGGGAAGUGGCUGUGAUCAGGCAAGGCUUUUCCACAGCAUCUCUCUUAUUCAGGAAUUGCUGUUCCCAGGUCUUACUGAUGAGCUGGUUCUUAAUAGAGGAGAAUAAAUAAAAGGGCAAGGGGAAAAAAGAAAAAGCCCAGACCUCAUUCUCUUCCCAGGGACUCCUCUUGAGCUGGCAAACAAAAGCCAAGCUGCAUGGCAGGAUGCUCGGAGCUCUGGAGAGGUGGCUGGUGCUGGAGGCAGAUGCAGGUUUCCUGGGGUCUGUGCGGGCCAGGGGCAAGGUCUGGUGCUGGCUCUGCCAAGGGGAGCAGCAGGGGCCAGGCCAUCAGCCAGCUGGCAGCCUGGCUUUGUCCCCACUCCUGCCUGCUGGCUUUACUGCACUACAAUUCCCAGCAGCCUGCAGGAAUUGUACGCCUUUGCCUUGGAAAGCAGCAUCUGAGCAGGUCACAAUAAUGCACUUGGGGGGCAGCAGGCUCAGCACUGACUGAUGGAGGUGGAUGCAGGCAGUGACAAAGCACCAGGGGUUUUUAUGGGCAGGAACAGGGCUUGGGGGCAGUACUGCAGUGGGCAGGGCAGAACUGAGGGCAGGGUGACAGGAUCACCCCUUGCACACACCCACCUCCUUCCAGGAUGAGGGUGAUGCUUUGUUUCACCCUCCAGCAAGAAGGAUCUGCUGCUCUACUGCUUGGACAGGGAGAGGAGAUGGUCCCAGAUGACCCAGAAAAGGCUUCUCCUGGUCCAGUCUGGGGGGCCACCUCUGUGUCCAGGCAGAAGCAAACCCAUCUCUCCAAGGACUCUGAGGGCUUUUGAGUCCUGGAUUCACAUGGGAAAUCCUGGAAGGAGGCAGCCCCUAAGCCCCCUCUGCAUGUGCCUCUAAUUAUCACACCUUCAGCUCCAGGAGCACCAGUUCUACUUUCCCCCAUUCAUAAUUCAGCCUGACACAGCCCAGCAAAAAUCAAUUCACUCUUAUAAGAAAGUGCCAAGGCAAAUUAUUUCCCAAAGCCUUCAACAGGGCUUUCUUCUAUCCCAACAACUGUAUCUUUGGUGUUGAGUCCUAAAUUACAGAUUAACUCUUUAAACUCUUCCAGUUUGCCGGGGAGCACAGCCAGACAGGUGACUAAUGAAGCUCUUGGCAAGAGCACCUUGUCACCUUGCUGGCCAUCCAUUAGAGGAUGGGCCCAUCUAGCUGUUAGUCCAUCAGUUUGUCCUUCCCUAAUUCAUCCCUCCAGACAUGCUAUCAGCUGUACAACCCUUGCCAUAUGACCUUGGCAGGGAAGCAAGUGAAGCAAGGACUGCCUCAAUUCUUAGAGAGGCUGUUCAGGCACUUGGGUCUCUGGAGAUCCCUGUCUGACCUUCCCCAAGGCAGCUUCUGGCCAACAGAGGUUGUUUUUUUUUUUCUUUUUCACAAUGCCCCAGUAAAGUCACCAUAAGGGAAAACCCUGCUUGGCAUCCCUGCUGCCUUGAAAGCCACUUGCCAGUGGCAGGGUCCAGUCCUGAUGUGCCCUGCAGCACCCCAAGUGACAUCCCUGGGAGUAUCCACCAGCUCCUGAGCAGACAUGGCAAGAAAAUACCAGAAUGCUGAAAAGCCUUUAAAUCUGCUCAAAAGGCUUUCUCCAGCCUUAGACCACAAAGGUUAGAAAUCAGAGGGAGCCCAUGAAAGAGCAAAUCUAAUAAAGGGAGUUUUAAUCAGAGCCAAGAGAAGGGGGUGAGAGAAGGGAUCAGAGUUGUAAACUGGCUGAAAAUCAGUCCCUUCGUUAUCACAAACACAUCAUUGGAACUUAAUAGUAUUUGACAUCUCAUUAAUUUAAACCAGGAGUCUGGGGAAUAGAGAGAGAAAAAGAAAGAACAUUAUUAAUUUUAAAGACCUCCUCCUAUAAGGACUCACAUUGAAAAAUAAAAGAAAAAUGUCAGAGGAAGAUUGUUGCUUUAUGUUUUUCCUCACUUUCCUGCCCUGUCUUUUUUCCUAGAGUUUGGAAGAGGUUGAUAGGCAUGGAGAACUCUGGUCAAGGCUUCCCAUGCCUUCCCCAGCCCCAAGGGGGGAAUGUUCAAAGGCCAGCCCAGCUCUGGGCUACCAUGGGGUGGAUGUGGGGGUGGGAUAUGCACAUGGCAUAGCCAGGUGUCCCUAGAGUCACCUGGCUAUAAACCAGCAAGAGCCAUGUGCUGUGAGUAAUUCAUGGGCAGGCUCACACAGCGUCCGUCUGUCCUGCAUCCACCGCUGGGAGAGGAGCUGAGGACCAAAAUAGCCAUCCCCGAAUCCAACAGCGUCCUCAGAGGCUGCGGUGAGGGGAUAUCUGCUCCCUGCUCCCCUGCCAAUGAGCAACGGAAGGCAGAGCUGCCAAAAAUAAAAUUAUUCAGGACACCAUCUCUAUUGUAAGGACAGAUGGAAGGUGCUGGGGCUGUGCUUGAAAAGGCAGAUCUAAAAGGAUGGAAUUAAAGAGACUUUGGAGAAAGAGAGGCUUUCUGCUAAAGCUGAUGUGCUGCUCUGCAGAUAAGGCUCCACAGGUGGAGUGGCAGGCACUCUUUGGAUCUAAUUGGGAAAGGGAAAAACCCACCUUAACUGUCCCCAGAUGCCUUUGGCAGCAGGAAGGUGGCUUCCCUGGCUCCUCCAGCUACCACUGCCAACUUUUUAAAAAGCACUUCUGCAUCUUGGCCUGGUAUUUCAAGAGAAUUCAAUAAUCUUAGGCAAUUAUUUCAAAGGAUUUUUGAAAUUGUCCUAUAUUUUUCCCCUUUCAGUGUGGCUGCACAUCACAAUGGCCGAGAAGGCCCGGCUGCCUGCGGGGUGGCCAAUUUAGCUCCAUGGAUUUUGACUGCUUUCUCAAGUCCCACUAUUGAUUUUCUGCUGGGUCCAACUGAGAAUUCAGCUUAUUAUAAAAAUCACAA